UGUCGUAACAAGGUUUCCGUAGGUGAACCUGCGGAAGGAUCAUUACCACACCGAUCCAAGAUCUUUCUAUUUGUGACUGUUUCCGGCGACCCUGCGUCAACGGUGCACAUUGCGUGCAGCGGUGGGGUUGCUGGGAGAAAGUAUUGUAAUUUAUAUUUUCUACAUGUAAUAAUGUGUUAACCGGUAUUGAACCAAAGAUCUGAAGCACAAGGGCGUGUUUGGCCUGCCUCGCUGUCUCGACGGCGCAGGGCGGGCCCACCCCGAAAAAACAAAAUCCAGUACAACUUUCAGCGGUGGAUGUCUAGGUUCCCACAACGAUGAAGAACGCAGCGAAAUGCGAUACGUAAUGCGAAUCGCAAGACCUCGUGAAUCAUUAAAAUUUUGAACGCACAUUGCGCUUUCGGGAUUUUCCCGGUAGCAUGCUUAUCUGAGUGUCUGUGAACCCCACUCAGCGCUGGUUGAUUUCGGUCUUCCGGCAGCUGGACUAUGGCGGUGACCCGAACGAUCCCUUGUUGGUCGAUUUGGGGCUCUGCGUAAAUAUGGUGUGCCACGUAGUGGUCGAAGCGUCACCAUUGGUCAGUUUGUGCUGGCCUGUGAGCGGUUCGAGCCCUCGUCAAUCUCCGGUAGCAGUAUGUUACAAUGCAGCUAGGGAGUGAAGUCGACGGGCUGAACGUAGCUGUGCAGGAAGCGCCGGACCUUUCGGUUGGUUCGCAUGCCCGUUGUGUAACGAGCAGUGUCCAAUUCCGGAUCUCAGAUUAAGCAAGAGGACCCGCCGAAUUUAAGCAUAUAAUUAAGCGGAGGAAAAGAAACUAACUAGGAUUCCCUCAGUAAGGGCGACUGAAGCGGGAAGUGCUCAGGAUGUGAAUCUGCGCUUUGCGCCGAAUUGUGGUCUGUAGACGGUUGCGUUACUAGCCGGGCCAAGUCCCUUGGAAAAGGGCAGCUGAGAGGGUGAGACUCCCGUCCGCCUGGCAAGGUGAGCUUCCUGUCAACGAGUCGAGUUGUUUGGGAUUGCAGCUCAAAGUGGGUGGUAAAUUCCAUCUAAAGCUAAAUAUUGGUGGGAGACCGAUAGCGUACAAGUACCGUGAGGGAAAGAUGCAAAGAACUUUGAAAAGAGAGUUAAAGAGUACCUGAAAUUGCUGAAAGGGAAGCGAAGGAAACCAGUGUUUGCUUAGUCAUAUUUCCCUGGCCGCUUGCGGCUUGGGCGCUGUGUCUGGCUUGUGUUGUGUUUGGUUGUGUCCUUUGGAAGAGCGCAGAGGGAGUUGACCUCUGUUGCUGGCACUGGGCGUGACUGAGCAGGACGAAAUGGUUUUCUUUACCCCGUCUUGAAACACGGACCAAGGAGUCUAACAUAUGUGCGAGUAUAGGGGUGGCAAACCCCCAUGCGCAAUGAAAGUGACAGUGGUUGGAAUUUAGCACAAUCCGCCGGCCUCAAUCCUUCGGGAGAACGGUCUGAGUGUGAGCAUACAUGUUGGGACCCGAAAGAUGGUGAACUAUGCGUGA
Molecule: ribosomal RNA, 1500 nt
Filed under: Pseudo-nitzschia delicatissima
Lineage: Eukaryota; Bacillariophyta; Bacillariophyceae; Bacillariales; Bacillariaceae
Description: eukaryotic LSU rRNA
Rfam family: Eukaryotic large subunit ribosomal RNA (bases 746-1500)
Source: RNAcentral